AUUACGUCAGUACCGCGGCCAAGCCCGCGGCCGGCACGGGCGCGCUGGACGCCCAGGCGGUGGC
This 64-nucleotide transfer RNA is filed under the name Kryptoperidinium foliaceum. The record is from RNAcentral. Lineage: Eukaryota; Dinophyceae; Peridiniales; Kryptoperidiniaceae.